RNAcentral lists this ribosomal RNA (491 nucleotides) under uncultured bacterium. Its description in RNAcentral is "partial 16S ribosomal RNA". It matches the Rfam family "Bacterial small subunit ribosomal RNA", at positions 29 to 507 of the family's 1533-position model. The record is from RNAcentral.
AGUGAACGCUGGCGGUAGGCCUAACACAUGCAAGUCGAACGGCAGCACAGUAAGAGCUUGCUCUUACGGGUGGCGAGUGGCGGACGGGUGAGGAAUACAUCGGAAUCUACUUUUUCGUGGGGGAUAACGUAGGGAAACUUACGCUAAUACCGCAUACGACCUACGGGUGAAAGCAGGGGAUCUUCGGACCUUGCGCGAUUGAAUGAGCCGAUGUCGGAUUAGCUAGUUGGCGGGGUAAAGGCCCACCAAGGCGACGAUCCGUAGCUGGUCUGAGAGGAUGUUCAGCAACACUGGACCUGAGACACGGUCCAGACUCCUCGGGGAGGAGGAAGUGGGGAAUAUUGGCCAAUGGGCGAAAGCCUGACCCAGCAAUCCCGCGUGGGUGAAGAAGGCCUUCGGGUUGUAAAGCCCUUUUGUUGGGAAGAAAAGCAGCAGGUUAAUACCCCGCUGUUCUGACGGUACCCAAAGAAUAAGCACCGGCUAACUUCGUG